UGGGAUUGCCUUAGUAACGGCGAGUGAAGCGGCAAUAGCUCAAAUUUGAAAGCUGGCCCCUUUGGGGUCCGCGUUGUAAUUUGUAGAGGAUGAUUCGGCGAGGGCUCCCGUCUAAGUCCCCUGGAACGGGGCGUCAUAGAGGGUGAGAAUCCCGUAUGUGAUGGGUUGCCUUAGCCAUGUGAAUCUCCUUCGACGAGUCGAGUUGUUUGGGAAUGCAGCUCUAAAUGGGAGGUAAAUUUCUUCUAAAGCUAAAUACCGGCCAGAGACCGAUAGCGCACAAGUAGAGUGAUCGAAAGAUGAAAAGCACUUUGGAAAGAGAGUUAAAAAGUACGUGAAAUUGUUGAAAGGGAAGCGCUUGCAGCCAGACUUGUCCGCAGUUGCUCAGCCGGUCUCCUGACCGGCGUACUCUUCUGCGGCCAGGCCAGCAUCAGUUCGGGCGGUCGGAUAAAGACCCUAGGAAUGUAGCUCCUCUCGGGGAGUGUUAUAGCCUGGGGUGGAAUGCGGCCAGCCUGGACUGAGGAUCUCGCUUCGGCUAGGAUGCUGGCGUAAUGGCUGUAAGCGGCCCGUCUUGAAACACGGACCAAGGAGUCUAACAUCUAUGCGAGUGUUUGGGUGUCAAACCCAUACGCGUAAUGAAAGUGAACGGAGGUGGGAACCCUCACGGGUGCACCAUCGACCGAUCCUGAUGUCUUCGGAUGGAUUUGAGUAAGAGCAUAGCUGUUGGGACCCGAAAGAUGGUGAACUAUGCCUGAAUAGGGUGAAGCCAGAGGAAACUCUGGUGGAGGCUCGCAGCGGUUCUGACGUGCAAAUCGAUCGUCAAAUUUGGGUAUAGGGGCGAAAGACUAAUCGAACCAUCUAG
Molecule: ribosomal RNA, 859 nt
Filed under: Dothiorella viticola
Lineage: Eukaryota; Fungi; Ascomycota; Dothideomycetes; Botryosphaeriales; Botryosphaeriaceae
Also listed under: 1 other name
Description: eukaryotic LSU rRNA
Rfam family: Eukaryotic large subunit ribosomal RNA
Source: RNAcentral